UGGCAACGGUUGUCUGGACAUCGCGAGUCCUCCAGGUAGGCGUAAAUAAGGUUCUGUUAGAAAGGGGGUAAGGGAGGCAAGGAUCUGCGUGGCGGGGGGGAUAACGCUCAGAAACAGACGCUAAUACCGCAUACGUCCUACGGGAGAAAGCAGGGGACCUUCGGGCCUUGCGCUAUCACUUUGCCUAGGUCGGAUUAUCUAGUUGGUGAGGUUAUGGCUCACCUGGGCGACUAUCCGUACCUGGUCUGAGAGGAUGAUCACCCACCCUGGAAGUGAAACGCGGUCCAUACUCCUACGGGAGGCCCCAGUGGGGAAUAUUGGACAGUGGGCGAAAGCCUGCUCCACCCGUGCCGCGUGUGUGAAAAAGGUCCCCCGUUUGUGAAGCACUUUAUCUUGUGAGAAAGGGCUUUUACCUCAUACGUUUAGUGUC
RNAcentral lists this ribosomal RNA (430 nucleotides) under Pseudomonas mediterranea. Its description in RNAcentral is "bacterial SSU rRNA". It matches the Rfam family "Bacterial small subunit ribosomal RNA", at positions 44 to 476 of the family's 1533-position model. Lineage: Bacteria; Pseudomonadati; Pseudomonadota; Gammaproteobacteria; Pseudomonadales; Pseudomonadaceae. The record is from RNAcentral.